This 386-nucleotide long non-coding RNA is filed under the name Citrus maxima (pomelo). RNAcentral describes it as "long non-coding RNA (CMAX_LNC004293)". The record is from RNAcentral. Lineage: Eukaryota; Viridiplantae; Streptophyta; Magnoliopsida; Sapindales; Rutaceae.
CGGUAUUUAAUUAUGAAGAUUGGUGGGGUAGCUGACCUUGUUAGUCCGUUCUUGCAAGAGUAGAAAGAUAAUCUUUCUGCUUUUUUAUAGUAUUUCCCCCGCUUAAUGGAUAACUAUUUGUUACCAAUGGGGAAUUCUUUCUCACCUUAAAUUAAUUGCAAAUUGAGGUGGUGGAAUUUGCGCCAGUGGAAACCAUAAAUUUCAUACACAAUAGAAAGAUAUGAUAGAUCGAUCUUUUUUUUAGAUAGUGAAUGGAGUUCUUCUUCUUCUAUUCUAUCCGAUUCACAGGUACUGAUCAUUGAUACUUAAAAAAGGGUUUCUUUCUUUUGGUUUGUCUCAGCCCAUGAUUGAAACGAGUCGCACAUACACCCUUGUACAUGUUCCUC